RNAcentral lists this ribosomal RNA (496 nucleotides) under uncultured Pseudomonadota bacterium. Its description in RNAcentral is "bacterial SSU rRNA". It matches the Rfam family "Bacterial small subunit ribosomal RNA", at positions 382 to 896 of the family's 1533-position model. The record is from RNAcentral. Lineage: Bacteria; Pseudomonadati; Pseudomonadota.
CCUGACGCAGCCAUGCCGCGUGAAUGAUGAAGGUCUUAGGAUUGUAAAAUUCUUUCACCGGGGACGAUAAUGACGGUACCCGGAGAAGAAGCUCCGGCUAACUUCGUGCCAGCAGCCGCGGUAAUACGAAGGGGGCUAGCGUUGCUCGGAAUUACUGGGCGUAAAGGGCGCGUAGGCGGACAGUUUAGUCAGAGGUGAAAGCCCAGGGCUCAACCCUGGAAUUGCCUUUGAUACUGGCUGUCUUGAGUACGGGAGAGGUGUGUGGAACUCCGAGUGUAGAGGUGAAAUUCGUAGAUAUUCGGAAGAACACCAGUGGCGAAGGCGACACACUGGCCCGUUACUGACGCUGAGGCGCGAAAGCGUGGGGAGCAAACAGGACUAGAUACCCUGGUAGUCCACGCCGUAAACGAUGAGUGCUAGUUGUCGGCAUGCAUGCAUGUCGGUGACGCAGCUAACGCAUUAAGCACUCCGCCUGGGGAGUACGGUCGCAAGAUUA